Malus domestica (apple) is the source of this 195-nucleotide small nuclear RNA. RefSeq annotates it as U2 spliceosomal RNA. NCBI's taxonomy places the organism in Eukaryota, Viridiplantae, Streptophyta, Magnoliopsida, Rosales, Rosaceae. The record is from RefSeq and is a predicted model, not a curated record.
AUACCUUUCUCGGCCUUUUGGCUAAGAUCAAGUGUAGUAUCUGUUCUUAUCAGUUUAAUAUCUGAUAUGUGGACCAAUGGUCUACAUGAUAUUAAAUUAAUUUCUUUAGGGGGAGAGUCCAUUACAAUAGCUUGCUAUUGGGACUCUUGCGUGUCGCCCAAGCGUUGCACUACUGCUCGGGCUGGCGCACCCCAC